RNAcentral lists this ribosomal RNA (484 nucleotides) under Membracioides sp. UCR ENT 00078206. Its description in RNAcentral is "partial large subunit ribosomal RNA". It matches the Rfam family "Eukaryotic large subunit ribosomal RNA", at positions 669 to 1107 of the family's 3401-position model. The record is from RNAcentral. Lineage: Eukaryota; Metazoa; Arthropoda; Insecta; Hemiptera; Schizopteridae.
AGGAGUCUAACAUGUGCGCAAGUCAUUUGGUUAUAAAACCAAAAGGCAUAACAAAAGUAAAGUAAGCUUUGCUUAAUUAGGGAGGAUAAUUAUUAAAUAAUAAUUUUGUUAUUUAUAAUUCGCACUCCCGGGGCGUUUAUUACUCAUUGCGAGUAAAGGCGCACCUAGAGCGUACACGUUGGGACCCGAAAGAUGGUGAACUAUGCCUGGCCAGGAUGAAGCCAGGGGAAACCCUGGUGGAGGUCCGUAGCGAUUCUGACGUGCAAAUCGAUCGUCAGAGCUAGGUAUAGGGGCGAUAGACUUAUCGAACUAUCUAGUAGCUGGUUCCUUCCGAAGUUUCCCUCAGGAUAGCUGGUGCCAAUGAUGAUUAGAGUCUCAUCUGGUAAAGCGAAUGAUUAGAGGCCUUGGGGCCGAAACGACCUCAACCUAUUCUCAAACUUUAAAUGGAUGAGAGCCUUGGCUUGCUUAAAAGUGAAGCCAAGGA